RNAcentral lists this ribosomal RNA (724 nucleotides) under uncultured bacterium. RNAcentral describes it as "bacterial SSU rRNA". It matches the Rfam family "Bacterial small subunit ribosomal RNA", at positions 667 to 1392 of the family's 1533-position model. The record is from RNAcentral.
UUNCACGUGUAGCAGUGAAAUGCGUAGAGAUGUGGAGGAAUACCGAUGGCGAAGGCAGCCUCCUGGGAUAACACUGACGUUCAUGCCCGAAAGCGUGGGUAGCAAACAGGAUUAGAUACCCUGGUAGUCCACGCCCUAAACGAUGUCGAUUAGCUGUUGGGCAGCAUGACUGCUUAGUAGCGAAGCUAACGCGUGAAAUCGACCGCCUGGGGAGUACGGUCGCAAGAUUAAAACUCAAAGGAAUUGACGGGGACCCGCACAAGCGGUGGAUGAUGUGGAUUAAUUCGAUGCAACGCGAAGAACCUUACCUGGUCUUGACAUGUACGGAAUCCUCCAGAGACGGAGGAGUGCCUUCGGGAGCCGUAACACAGGUGCUGCAUGGCUGUCGUCAGCUCGUGUCGUGAGAUGUUGGGUUAAGUCCCGCAACGAGCGCAACCCUUGUCAUUAGUUGCCAUCAUUAAGUUGGGCACUCUAAUGAGACUGCCGGUGACAAGCCGGAGGAAGGUGGGGAUGACGUCAAGUCCUCAUGGCCCUUAUGACCAGGGCUUCACACGUCAUACAAUGGUCGGUACAGAGGGUAGCCAAGCCGCGAGGCGGAGCCAAUCUCACAAAACCGAUCGUAGUCCGGAUUGCACUCUGCAACUCGAGUGCAUGAAGUCGGAAUCGCUAGUAAUCGCAGGUCAGCAUACUGCGGUGAAUACGUUCCCGGGUCUUGUACACACCG